RNAcentral lists this long non-coding RNA (634 nucleotides) under Pogona vitticeps (central bearded dragon). RNAcentral's name for it is "lncRNA (ENSPVIG00000003469.1)". Lineage: Eukaryota; Metazoa; Chordata; Lepidosauria; Squamata; Agamidae. The record is from RNAcentral.
GCAGAGCCAUGCCCUUCGGUGCCUUUCUAGGAAGCGAAACUCUAUUACUUUAACCACCCCAUGACCCUUCCAGCUCUACUGUACUCAUCCGGAAGCCGGAGAAAACCGGGAAAAAAAAACAAUUUAGGCGGUUUUUAAAAAUAUCGGGGACUUUGGCAGCCAUGUUCAUCAGGAUUAAUUUGUGUGGACCGGUGGUGUGAGAAAGCAAGAGGCACAAAUUACAGGGUUAAAAAGCUGGUGAGCUUGGAGGAGGUGGCUGUAUAUUUCACCAUGGAACAGUGGACAUUGCUGGAUCCAUGGUGUCAUGGAAGCUAAACUGGAAGAAUGUAAUGUGCCUGGGUGGAGAACCCAUGACCCUCCCAGUGAAUUAUCAUUCCAUAUCAUCUCCCACCGUUGGCUGACGGAAACCGGGGUCCAAGAAUAUGUGAAGACUUCUAUGUCUUGAAAUGCAAAGUAACUUGUUUUUAGGUUUUUAGAAGUAAACGUAAGCAAGACCAAGUCACUUUGUGGUCUGUGUGUGUGUUGAAGUCUUGAUUGAUGGAGUUCUGUGUUUUUGUUUGUUCGUUUCUUUCUUUUGCUCCUUUUUCCAACUCUGCAGAGUUCAAAUAAACUUUGAAUGUUAAUGAUAAAUGCA